GUGAGGAAUAUUGGUCAAUGGACGGAAGUCUGAACCAGCCAUGCCGCGUGGAGGAAGAAGGUCCUAUGGGUUGUAAACUCCUUUUGUUCCAGAGUAAUAACCCCCAUGCGUGGGGGGAUGAGAGUAUGGGACGAAUAAGCAUCGGCUAACUCCGUGCCAGCAGCCGCGGUAAUACGGAGGAUGCAAGCGUUAUCCGGAUUUAUUGGGUUUAAAGGGUGCGCAGGCGGAUAGUUAAGUCAGCGGUGAAAUCUCACGGCUCAACCGUGGAACUGCCGUUGAUACUGGCUGUCUGGAGUACGGACGGCGCCGGCGGAAUGUGUCAUGUAGCGGUGAAAUGCUUAGAUAUGCCACAGAACACCGAUCGCGAAGGCAGCUGGCGAGGCCGGUACUGACGCUCAGGCACGAAAGCGUGGGGAUCAAACAGGAUUAGAUACCCGAGUAGUCC
RNAcentral lists this ribosomal RNA (445 nucleotides) under uncultured bacterium. RNAcentral describes it as "bacterial SSU rRNA". It matches the Rfam family "Bacterial small subunit ribosomal RNA", at positions 354 to 796 of the family's 1533-position model. The record is from RNAcentral.